Molecule: ribosomal RNA, 252 nt
Filed under: uncultured bacterium
Lineage: Bacteria
Description: partial 16S ribosomal RNA
Rfam family: Bacterial small subunit ribosomal RNA
Source: RNAcentral
UACGUAGGGGGCAAGCGUUGUCCGGAAUCAUUGGGCGUAAAGAGCGCGUAGGCGGUCCGGUAAGUCCGCUCCGAAAGUCCGGGGCUCAACCCCGGGAGGCGGGCGGAUACUGUCGGGCUAGAGUCCGGAAGAGGCGAGUGGAAUUCCUGGUGUAGCGGUGAAAUGCGUAGAGAUCCGGAGGAACACCGACGGCGCAGGCAGCGUCCUGGCCGCUUGCUGACACUGAGGCACGAAAGCUGGGGAGCAAACAGG